CGCCAAGAAGCUAAAUCUAGCACUAACCUUUUAAGUUAGAGACUGAGAGCCCAAUACUCUCCUUAGCGG
Molecule: transfer RNA, 69 nt
Filed under: Okapia johnstoni (okapi)
Lineage: Eukaryota; Metazoa; Chordata; Mammalia; Artiodactyla; Giraffidae
Description: tRNA-Lys
Rfam family: tRNA
About the family: Transfer RNA (tRNA) molecules are approximately 80 nucleotides in length. Their secondary structure includes four short double-helical elements and three loops (D, anti-codon, and T loops). Further hydrogen bonds mediate the characteristic L-shaped molecular structure. tRNAs have two regions of fundamental functional importance: the anti-codon, which is responsible for specific mRNA codon recognition, and the 3' end, to which the tRNAs corresponding amino acid is attached (by aminoacyl-tRNA synthetases). tRNAs cope with the degeneracy of the genetic code in two manners: having more than one tRNA (with a specific anti-codon) for a particular amino acid; and 'wobble' base-pairing, i.e. permitting non-standard base-pairing at the 3rd anti-codon position.
Source: RNAcentral